This 907-nucleotide long non-coding RNA is filed under the name Dermacentor andersoni. RNAcentral describes it as "uncharacterized LOC126548634". Lineage: Eukaryota; Metazoa; Arthropoda; Arachnida; Ixodida; Ixodidae. The record is from RNAcentral.
UACAUGCAGUGGAGUCGCCGUAUCUCGCCGUUCAAGAUAUGCGUACUCGUAAGUGGCAUUUUAAUUUCACGUUGUGUAAUGCAUGACUGUCUUUUUCAAGUGAACAAAGGUCGCUUUGUAUUGUGUAAAUGGUUUUGCAACGUAUGAUAAACUCCUUGUCUUUCGGGCUUAUUUUUUCUGACAGGAAGAAAAAAAAAAAAGAGGCUUUACAUGAGAACGGAUCAAGCGUUCGAGAGUUGGGACAGGGAAAUGAAACACUGGAACGACACUGCUUAAAUUGAAGCACAGUGUGCGAAUGACCUGCUACGCUCGGAACUGUUAUCACCAUUCGGGAAGAAAUUGGGUAAGAAUGGAUUGUGUGUGGCGCGCUUCACCGCAUGUGGACUAGAGUAGAUCUAGGAACAUCAGACAAGAAGACACGUAUGUGAAACCCUGCGGAUAGCCCAUAUGUGAACUUUUUUUCCAGAUACGGAGGAACGGACACCGGUCGUGCCGUGAGCACUAUUCUGCAGGGCAUACUUACAAAUGAAGCUGCACUGCAGUUCAGCUGGAAAGGGUCGCAGGGGAGGAAGCACGCCUUCGUGAAGCUCAUGGCCAUCACGAAUAUAACAUCUGUGAGGAGCACGUUCCCUGACGCUUCACUAGCAUCAGUGGCUGGAGUCGCAAAACGCUGGUUGGUUGGAGCAGCUGACAGGGAUGGAGGCCGGAAUGAAAGAAGGCGCCGUGACCCUGCUUCAAGCCCACCAAAUAUGAACUAGUGUUUGAAACUUGUGAACGUGUCGGUGUACAUAUACAAUUACAAGAAAUAAAGACCUGUAUCAGAAUCUUUUGCCUGGCAUUUAUGUGGCAUGAAAAGUACAAAAAAGCGUUCGCUUUCGUGUGGUACUUCUAUGCCGGCCACCACACA